Molecule: ribosomal RNA, 492 nt
Filed under: uncultured bacterium
Lineage: Bacteria
Description: partial 16S ribosomal RNA
Rfam family: Bacterial small subunit ribosomal RNA
Source: RNAcentral
AGUGAACGCUGGCGGUAGGCCUAACACAUGCAAGUCGAACGGCAGCACAGUAAGAGCUUGCUCUUACGGGUGGCGAGUGGCGGACGGGUGAGGAAUACAUCGGAAUCUACUUUUUCGUGGGGGAUAACGUAGGGAAACUUACGCUAAUACCGCAUACGACCUACGGGUGAAAGCAGGGGAUCUUCGGACCUCGCGCGAUUGAAUGAGCCGAUGUCGGAUUAGCUAGUUGGCGGGGUAAAGGCCCACCAAGGCGACGAUCCGUGGCUGGUCUGAGAGGAUGAUCAGCCACACUGGAACUGAGACACGGUCCAGACUCCUACGGGAGGCAGCAGUGGGGAAUAUUGGACAAUGGGCGCAAGCCUGAUCCAGCCAUACCGCGUGGGUGAAGAAGGCCUUCGGGUUGUAAAGCCCUUUUGUUGGGAAAGAAAAGCAGCAGGUUAAUACCCCGCUGUUCUGACGGUACCCAAAGAAUAAGCACCGGCUAACUUCGUG